AGCGAACGCUGGCGGUAGGCCUAACACAUGCAAGUCGAACGGCAGCACAGGAGAGCUUGCUCUCUGGGUGGCGAGUGGCGGACGGGUGAGGAAUACAUCGGAAUCUACUCUGUCGUGGGGGAUAACGUAGGGAAACUUACGCUGAUACCGCAUACGACCUACGGGUGAAAGCAGGGGAUCUUCGGACCUUGCGCGAUUGAAUGAGCCGAUGUCGGAUUAGCUAGUUGGCGGGGUAAAGGCCCACCAAGGCGACGAUCCGUAGCUGGUCUGAGAGGAUGAUCAGCCACACUGGAACUGAGACACGGUCCAGACUCCUACGGGAGGCAGCAGUGGGGAAUAUUGGACAAUGGGCGCAAGCCUGAUCCAGCCAUACCGCGUGGGUGAAGAAGGCCUUCGGGUUGUAAAGCCCUUUUGUUGGGAAAGAAAUCCAGCUGGCUAAUACCCGGUUGGGAUGACGGUACCCAAAGAAUAAGCACCGGCUAACUUCGUGCCAGCCGCCGCGGUAA
RNAcentral lists this ribosomal RNA (506 nucleotides) under uncultured bacterium. Its description in RNAcentral is "partial 16S ribosomal RNA". It matches the Rfam family "Bacterial small subunit ribosomal RNA", at positions 29 to 523 of the family's 1533-position model. The record is from RNAcentral.